Molecule: small RNA, 235 nt
Filed under: Arabidopsis thaliana (thale cress)
Lineage: Eukaryota; Viridiplantae; Streptophyta; Magnoliopsida; Brassicales; Brassicaceae
Description: ATSL037470
Source: RNAcentral
UCAACACUAAACCUAAAACCUUAAACCCUAAACAUAAAUCCUACACCCUAAACUAAAAAUCCAAAACACUAAAACCUAAACCCAAAACCCUAAACCCUAAACCCUAAACUCUUAACCCUAACCCUUAAACCUAAACCCAAAACCAUAGUCCCCAAACUUUAUAACCAAAAUCCUACUUUAGCUUCUGGAAGCUGGUUGCGGUUCUAGUUCUUAUGCUCAACGAUACACAAAGUAU